This 332-nucleotide ribosomal RNA is filed under the name uncultured Actinomycetes bacterium. Its description in RNAcentral is "bacterial SSU rRNA". It matches the Rfam family "Bacterial small subunit ribosomal RNA", at positions 28 to 351 of the family's 1533-position model. The record is from RNAcentral. Lineage: Bacteria; Bacillati; Actinomycetota; Actinomycetes.
GACGAACGCUGGCGGCGUGCUUAAUGCAUGCAAGUCGCACGAGGCCCCAUGGACGGGUAACCGUCCCGGGGUCCUAGUGGCGAACGGGUGAGUAACACGUGAGGAACCUGCCCCGGAAUCUGGGAUAGCCCAGGGAAACCUGGAUUAAUACCGGAUACCCUCGAUCGGUCGCAUGUCUGGUCGAGGAAAGGUCCGCCGUUCCGGGAUGGCCUCGCGGCCUAUCAGCUUGUUGGCGGGGUAACGGCCCACCAAGGCAACGACGGGUAGCUGGUCUGAGAGGACGAUCAGCCACACUGGGACUGAGACACGGCCCAGACUCCUACGGGUGGCAG